Molecule: ribosomal RNA, 568 nt
Filed under: uncultured bacterium
Lineage: Bacteria
Description: bacterial SSU rRNA
Rfam family: Bacterial small subunit ribosomal RNA
Source: RNAcentral
CCUACGGGAGGCAGCAGUGGGGAAUCUUGCGCAAUGGGCGAAAGCCUGACGCAGCCAUGCCGCGUGAAUGAUGAAGGUCUUAGGAUUGUAAAAUUCUUUCACCGGGGACGAUAAUGACGGUACCCGGAGAAGAAGCCCCGGCUAACUUCGUGCCAGCAGCCGCGGUAAUACGAAGGGGGGCUAGCGUUGCUCGGAAUUACUGGGCGUAAAGGGAGCGUAGGCGGAUAGUUUAGUCAGAGGUGAAAGCCCAGGGCUCAACCUUGGAAUUGCCUUUGAUACUGGCUAUCUUGAGUAUGGGAGAGGUUAGCGGAACUCCGAGUGUAGAGGUGAAAUUCGUAGAUAUUCGGAAGAACACCAGUGGCGAAGGCGGCUAACUGGCCCAUUACUGACGCUGAGGCUCGAAAAGCGUGGGGAGCAAACAGGAUUAGAUACCCUGGUAGUCCACGCCGUAAACGAUGAGUGCUAGUUGUCGGCAUGCAUGCAUGUCGGUGACGCAGCUAACGCAUUAAGCAACUCCGCCUGGGGAGUACGGGUCGCAAGAUAAAAACUUAAAAGAAAAUUAAGAACG